AGUUUUUUUUUUUUAAUGUACAGUUCGAAUGUAUGCCUGGAGCAAAUAAGCACACAUCUAAAGAAGCUGGGAGCCUUGCAGUUGUAAUCCAAGCUCUCUGUGCCCUGGUGCUCCUGCCUGUUUUCAGGCACCCCAAAUGUGGUCCUAGGCCAGAGAAGUGAAGAGCAUCUCUCGGCAGCCUAAGUUCAGCUCUGCAGCUGAGCCACUGCACGUGGAGCUGUGGCCAGUGGAGAUUCAGGAGCAGAUCUGCUGCAUUACCUAUGAACAGGACAAUGGGGCCCCAAUGAGUCACCCUAUUCAUAUAUUUUUGGAACCCAGAGGAAUUGGUUUGACUAUUUACAGAUUAUAACAGUUGGUAGUUGAAUGUUUUAUUUUCAUUCCCAGUUGGUACAAUAUGUUCACAGCUGAUGCUAAUGGCUUGCCCAUUUGAUAUCACAUAUGGUCCACUAUUUGGGUCUCCUAAAGCUUCUUUUGUGGUCAAGCUGCUUUCAAACUUAUGUCUGUUUAGGUUUGUUCUGUCUGCUGGGAAGUUGAAUAUGAAACUCUGAAACUGGGCAGCUUUUGAGUAACUCAGCAGUUCUGUUGAUAAAGAGCCAAAGAAUUUGAGACGAAAUGGCCCAUAAAGAAUAUCACUAUAUAAAAUUGAAUAAAAACAAAUGUCUUACAACAUCAUGUGAAAUUCUGAAAGAAAUGUCCUUUCCUCUUUCUUUGUCUUUGAAGCUGUGAUUGAGUUACCCUCCAGUGUAUGGAUAUCACUGAGCAUCAUCAGGGCUGCUUUUGCUGGAUGUUUAGUUAUAUUGGAAAUCAAUUUAUACAUAAUUUGUAUUGCUUAAAUCAUCAUUUGUAUUUUUAGUUGAAUAUUACUAUUAUGAUAGUGUUUUGUGAAACAAUAUAUGGAAGCAAAUUAAUUUUUCCUUUGUUUUAUAGAAUAGGAGCAUAGGAAAAGUGAACUAAAAGAAUAUGGGUACAGAAAUUAAAAUUACAAGCCUAUCCGAAGUUGUUCUCCUAUGACACAAAGUGUUUAUACUGACUCUGAAACAUACUGAUAAAACCACAAUCUCAUAAAAAGAUUAUUUCCAAAACUAUUGCAUUACCCUCUGAGAGCUAAAAUUCUCAUUUAUUCGUAGGAGUAGAUCAUAAUAGCUCUAAUUCCCUGAGAAGUGGGCAUUGUGUGAUAAUUAAGCAGGGUAGUACAUUAAUUGUCCUCCACUUCACCUCUAGAUGUUUAACUCCUUAUCUAGUCAACCAGCAAACAAUAAUGCUCACUUAUUUGUGCCUUACAGUUAAAAAAAAAAAAAAACUAGGUAAUUUAUUUGAAAUAAAGCAGAGUAAGCAUAUUCAUGUAAAAGAGGUAUUAAAAUGAUGUUAGAUUACCAUUAUUAAAUACCAUUAGGUCGUAGGAUGUGGGGUUUAUGGUUGUAUUUUUCAGCCAUGCAACUUUAGCUGAAUAAGAGCAAUGUGAUUUCGCAUGCAGGAAUAUUUUUCUAACAAAUGGGACAGAUUUAGCAGGUUUUUUUGCCACGUGGCUUCUGCUUUCUGGUGGCCUCUCUGUCACCAAUGCCUGUUAGGAGAGCAGGUACGUGUGUGCUGGAAGUGCUGCCUGUGCCUGGCAUACCUGGCUCCUGGCGUUGGGUUAAAUGAGGCACCUGGUGGUAGGACAGAGGCUCUGGCUUGCUCAGUUUCAGGAGAAAUAGUGCAUAUUGCUGGAUAAGAGUCAGCCCUUGGAAGGAGACUGAAAUGGAACUGAAGUAGGAGGCUCUUUCAAGUUAUUCAAGUCAAUAUUCCACCUGGAGUACUAGGGAAAGAAAAACCCAACUAAACCAAAUGUUUUUGCAAACAAAAUUAAUAGAGAAGAACUAAAAUACUGCCCUCUACUAUAAGCAGUUUCAGGGACCUAGAAAAUGACAGAGAACUUUAGCAUGCUAAGAAGCUCACUUGAAAUGUCUUUAAAAAAAGAACUAAGGAAAUCAAAUUAUUAAUGAAUUAUCUCAGGAAUGGACUGGGUACCUGAUGAUGUGGUAAAAAGUAUUUGUUAGACAGGACUUGGUCAAAAUUUGGUGAAAUUUUGGGUACUCUGUACCCAAGAGAGUUAAAGAAGUUAGUGAUGUUAUCUCUCCCAGCUUAUUAGAUAGACAUGGAAGAUUAUGCAAAAGUAGAAUUUGGAUUUACUGGAUGCAAAUUAAAUUAUAUUCAGGAAAGAAUGUCUUUCUCAUAAAUAGCAGAACUAAGUGUU
Lonchura striata (white-rumped munia) is the source of this 2233-nucleotide non-coding RNA. The record is from RefSeq and is a predicted model, not a curated record. Lineage: Eukaryota; Metazoa; Chordata; Aves; Passeriformes; Estrildidae.